AUUGGCAGUGGCGUAUUUGCCGUAUUGUUCAUAUUUGUACCAUGUUUUAUAAGAAAAGGACCUAACCAAGGGAUCAUACGAUGCAGCAUUUUGCUGUCUAUAUUCUCAAUGUGGAUAUUCUGGGCCACCGUGUAUAUCGCACAGAUGAAUCCUGUAGUCGGGCCGCGCCACCUCAACACCACACUCAUCUGGAAGAAGCAUCUGG
Long non-coding RNA from Cydia amplana, 205 nucleotides. RefSeq lists it as uncharacterized. The record is from RefSeq and is a predicted model, not a curated record. The transcript has 3 exons. Lineage: Eukaryota; Metazoa; Arthropoda; Insecta; Lepidoptera; Tortricidae.